CAGGUAUUAAAUCUGUUUAUAUGUGGGAGGGUGAGGUAAGAAUACCAUGCAUACUGAGUUAUAUCAUUAACUGAUAUUUUAUGACCAAUUCAACCGUCAGAUUAAUGCGAAUGAGCCUCAAUGACAUAUCAUAUGUGCAUUAGAAUAGAUUAAUCGCACAUAUGGUAUGCUGUGAAGCUCGUUAAUCUGGCUAUCAGGAUGAUUUGUUGUGGGGAGCUACUUUGCUGCACAAAGCCACCAAAAACCCAGCUUAUCUGAACUACAUUCAAGCGAAUGGUCAGACACUUGGAGCUGAUGAGACUGACAAUCCCUUUGGUUGGGAUGACAAACAUGUUGGGGCAAGAAUCUUAAUUUCCAAGAUCUGAUUUUUUCUUUUUCUUUCUAAUUUCUAUCCGUUCAUUUUUUUUUAUAUCUUUCAUACAAAACUUCACUCUUUGACUUCUUAGUAGCUACUAGUUACCAUUCAAAAAAAAAAAAAAAACCUUAGAAUCUGACUUCAUAGUACACUAAAAGCGGUUGCACUGAUCUGAAUUU
Magnolia sinica is the source of this 534-nucleotide long non-coding RNA. RefSeq lists it as uncharacterized. NCBI's taxonomy places the organism in Eukaryota, Viridiplantae, Streptophyta, Magnoliopsida, Magnoliales, Magnoliaceae. The transcript has 3 exons. The record is from RefSeq and is a predicted model, not a curated record.